CCCUUAGACGUUCUGGGCCGCACGCGCGCUACACUGACCAGUGCAACAAGCGUCCGUCCUUGGCCGACAGGCUCGGGCAAUCUUUGAACGCUGGUCGUGAUGGGGAUAGACUUUUGCAAUUUUUGGUCUUCAACGAGGAAUUCCUAGUAAACGCAAGUCAUCAACUUGCAUUGAUUACGUCCCUGCCCUUUGUACACACCGCCCGUCGCACCUACCGAUUGAAUGGUCCGGUGAAGCCUCCGGAUUGGCGCGCACCUCGGUGCCGCCGAGAAGUUGGCUAAACCUUACCAUUUAGAGGAAGGUGAAGUCGUAACA
RNAcentral lists this ribosomal RNA (315 nucleotides) under uncultured eukaryote. Its description in RNAcentral is "partial 18S ribosomal RNA". It matches the Rfam family "Eukaryotic small subunit ribosomal RNA", at positions 1470 to 1796 of the family's 1831-position model. The record is from RNAcentral.